Molecule: ribosomal RNA, 253 nt
Filed under: uncultured bacterium
Lineage: Bacteria
Description: partial 16S ribosomal RNA
Rfam family: Bacterial small subunit ribosomal RNA
Source: RNAcentral
UACAGAGGGUGCAAGCGUUAAUCGGAAUUACUGGGCGUAAAGCGUGCGUAGACGGUUAUGUAAGUCAGAUGUGAAAGCCCCGGGCUCAACCUGGGAAUUGCAUUUGAGACUGCGUAGCUAGGGUGCGGAAGAGGGAAGCGUAAUUUCCGGUGUAGCGGUGAAAUGCGUAGAUAUCGGAAGGAACACCAGUGGCGAAAGCGGCUUCCUGGUCCAGCACCGACGUUCAGGCACGAAAGCGUGGGGAGCAAACAGG